Molecule: long non-coding RNA, 891 nt
Filed under: Androctonus crassicauda
Lineage: Eukaryota; Metazoa; Arthropoda; Arachnida; Scorpiones; Buthidae
Source: RNAcentral
UUUUAUCGAAGAAUCGAUUUAUUUUAAGUGAUCAAAAAUUUGACACUAGUCUCGUCUUUUAAACUGAUGUUACUUCAACCACCAUCCCCUGUUGAAUGUGGAACAAUUAAAUUAGGAAAUGUGAAGAAUUAAAGUUUUUAUUUAACAGUUAUUAAGUUGGCUUUAAUGAUGUAUGUGUAUAUUUUUCCCGCUUACUUGUAAGUAAAGAUGGAAAAAAAAAAUUCUUGAGCUUGGCAUCAAACAUAGUAAAUGCCGUUUUACUAUCUGCUUGGAAAAAUUGAUUAUCCGUAUUGUAAUGGCAAAUGUAGUGAAAAGGUCGAAUCGAAAUGUGUUUGUGUGCAUUUAGUUCUUGUCGAAUUUCCUUAAAAGUUGAAAAACUUAUAUGAUCCACUUAAAGUUCUUCUCCGGGAUGACCGUCGGCGAAUUGGGUCAUUUUAGUAGGAAAUUUUAUCGAGAAGAAAAUAUUUACCAUGGAGAACUUAAAAACUUGAUACCACUAAAAGAUUCGGAAAUGUCUUUAGCCAAGAAUAAUUGGUUAGUAAAAGCUUUUAAAUUUUAUAACGCUGUUGGCUUCAAAAAUUUUACCAAUGUUUUCAAAUAAUCGAACAAUUCUUUAAUGAUUUUUUUGAUUAAAAGAAAAAAAAAACCAUCACACAUACGAAGGAAAUUAGUUUAAGGAUGGCUUAAGAGCCGUGGUAAUUUGCAUAUGGUGUCAACAGUAAUGAUAAACAUCUUAAUUAACUCUUAUAUUCUAAAUUAUGCUCAGAUUACCGAUAAUAUCAGUUUUUGGUAAAUUGAGAUUAGUUAGUCAUUAGCAUAAGUUCUCGAUAAAAACUAAUUUGAAAUUUAGAUCUUGCCAUGUCGAAAUUUUUAUUUUUCUACUCUACUUAC